This 31-nucleotide non-coding RNA is filed under the name Homo sapiens (human). Lineage: Eukaryota; Metazoa; Chordata; Mammalia; Primates; Hominidae. The record is from RNAcentral.
AGCCUGUUUGAUGAGAGCACUACCUUCCUUC